Molecule: ribosomal RNA, 549 nt
Filed under: uncultured Prochlorococcus sp.
Lineage: Bacteria; Bacillati; Cyanobacteriota; Cyanophyceae; Synechococcales; Prochlorococcaceae
Description: bacterial SSU rRNA
Rfam family: Bacterial small subunit ribosomal RNA
Source: RNAcentral
UCGAACGAACCUUCGGGUUAGUGGCGGACGGGUGAGUAACGCGUGGGAAUCUGCCCUCAGGAGGGGGAUAACGGUUGGAAACGACCGCUAAUACCCCAUAUGCCGAUAGGUGAAAUGAAUUUCGCCUGAGGAUGAGCCCGCGUCUGAUUAGCUAGUUGGUAAGGUAAAGGCUUACCAAGGCUUCGAUCAGUAGCUGGUCUGAGAGGAUGAUCAGCCACACUGGGACUGAGACACGGCCCAGACUCCUACGGGAGGCAGCAGCGGGGAAUUUUCCGCAAUGGGCGAAAGCCUGACGGAGCAACGCCGCGUGAGGGACGAAGGCCUCUGGGCUGUAAACCUCUUUUCUCAAGGAAGAAGAUAUGACGGUACUUGAGGAAUAAGCCACGGCUAAUUCCGUGCCAGCAGCCGCGGUAAUACGGGAGUGGCAAGCGUUAUCCGGAAUUAUUGGGCGUAAAGCGUCCGCAGGCGGCCUUUCAAGUCUGCUGUUAAAGCGUGGAGCUUAACUCCAUUAUGGCAGUGGAAACUGAUAGGCUUGAGUAUGGUAGGGGC